UACGAAGGGGGCUAGCGUUGCUCGGAAUCACUGGGCGUAAAGGGCGCGUAGGCGGCGUUUUAAGUCGGGGGUGAAAGCCUGUGGCUCAACCACAGAAUGGCCUUCGAUACUGGGACGCUUGAGUAUGGUAGAGGUUGGUGGAACUGCGAGUGUAGAGGUGAAAUUCGUAGAUAUUCGCAAGAACACCAGUGGCGAAGGCGGCUCACUGGCCCGGUACUGACGCUGAGACGCGAAAGCGUGGGGAGCAAACAGG
This 253-nucleotide ribosomal RNA is filed under the name uncultured bacterium. RNAcentral describes it as "partial 16S ribosomal RNA". It matches the Rfam family "Bacterial small subunit ribosomal RNA", at positions 524 to 776 of the family's 1533-position model. The record is from RNAcentral.